Molecule: ribosomal RNA, 480 nt
Filed under: uncultured bacterium
Lineage: Bacteria
Description: bacterial SSU rRNA
Rfam family: Bacterial small subunit ribosomal RNA
Source: RNAcentral
GACGAACGCUGGCGGCGUGCCUAAUACAUGCAAGUCGAGCGGACCCUUCGGGGUUAGCGGCGGACGGGUGAGUAACACGUGGGUAANCUGCCCAACUGACUGGAAUAAGCCUGGAAACGGGUGCUAAUGCCGGAUAGGCAACUGGUAGGCAUCUACCGGUUGGGAAAGGUGCAACUGCACCGCAGAUGGAGGAGCCCGCGGCGCAUUAGCUAGUUGGUGGGGUAACGGCUCACCAAGGCAACGAUGCGUAGCCGACCUGAGAGGGUGACCGGCCACACUGGGACUGAGACACGGCCCAGACUCCUACGGGAGGCAGCAGUAGGGAAUCUUCCACAAUGGGCGCAAGCCUGAUGGAGCAACGCCGCGUGAGUGAAGACGGCCUUCGGGUUGUAAAGCUCAGUCACUCGGGAAGAGCGGACGAGGGAGUGGAAAGCCCUCGUCGAGACGGUACCGAGAGAGGAAGCCCCGGCUAACUACGUG